Panicum virgatum (switchgrass) is the source of this 792-nucleotide long non-coding RNA. RefSeq lists it as uncharacterized. NCBI's taxonomy places the organism in Eukaryota, Viridiplantae, Streptophyta, Magnoliopsida, Poales, Poaceae. The record is from RefSeq and is a predicted model, not a curated record. The transcript is spliced from 4 exons.
CCGGAUCCAGCCGCCGCCGGUCCUCCAACGACCGGAUCCGUGGCGGGGCCAGCCUCCGGUGCCUCCGCGGGCUCCACGCUGCCUGGACCAGCGCCGCCUCGUCCGGAUCUGCCGCCACCGGCCCUCCUCCGCCUCGUGCCGACGCGCGGGAGGUACACGGAGCGCACCUCCGCCGCCGCCAGGACCGUCGCCGAGGUCGUGCGUGCGUGCCACGCCCAGGGGUCAUGCACCGGGACCUCAAGCCCGAGAAGUUCCUGUACGCGGGCAAGAGCCCAGACGCACGACUCAAGGCCAUCGACUUCGGCCUCUCCGUCUUCUUCAGACUAGCUUUUAGUGGCUUUAAAAGUUCGCUACCCUCACAGGAUCACCAUUCUCAGAGGGAACCAUGAAAGACGACAGAUUACUCAAGUUUAUGGAUUCUAUGAUGAGUGUCUAAGGAGAAAUUGACUCAAGAUUGGCCGGAAGUGAUUGAUUGAAGGCUGGCGGUAAAUUUCAGUUCAGACUAAGGGUCGCUGCAAGUGAUUGAUUGAAGAAUGGCAGGAAAUUUCUGUUCGGCAAAAGCAAAUCCAUCUCUUGUAGGUUUAUACUGUAUUCUUUGUAUUAGCAGAUUUUUGGAGCUAUGAAGCCUAGACGAUUAUAAUUUGUAUUUAAUUAACAUUUGGUGUGUAUGCAUUGGCUGCUGUUUAUGGGCUUUAUUGAAAGUAGAAAUGGGCUUGGCCCAUAAAUGAUUGCUCAUAUUGGAUGUUGAAAUGGCUUGGGCCAAAACAGUUAAAUAUGUUGAACGUCUUCAAA